AGAUCGUGUAAAUCUUUCGCCUUUUACUAAAGAUUUCCGUGGAGAGGAACAAUUCUGAGUUUUUACCCAGUUUUUUGAGGCCUUGCACUUGCAAGGCUUAUAAAGCUGUACUAAAAAUAGAGUUGUGUAGUAUGUAUGAGUUUUCUCGUCAAAUAAGAAUUUAGAACCGUGUUCACUUCCGUCGUUGGUGGUGUCUUUCAUCUUUUUUUCCGUGUUAGUGGCAGUGUUUUCAAGAGAGUUUACGCGGUGACGGAUUUCAGAGGGAGUGUGUUUCGUGUUUUUUCUCGGUGCGUCCGUGUUCUGUGCAGCUGCCGUGUUCUUCCUGUGUUGUCCUGCUCCUCUGGGACCCGUUUUCUUCCCUGCGGGUCUCGUCAUUCAUUUCUGCCGCAGCACUGGCCACCAUGACCCACGUGUGCACUUCAGAGAAAAGGCUGUAACUGUCCGUUCGCCCGUCUGGCGUCGGAAGCUGACCCAGCGCCAGGAACAAAGCCCAUGUGUCGCCUGCGUAGACGGACGAAGGGCGCAUGGGUCUCUCUACCGCUCCAACGGUUCCCUUAGUGUGAAGGUCGCUCAGGGUGGUCGUUACAUCCCUACCUAGUAGGUUGUCUAGAAAAAUACUCAUGUCUCAGGCAUCCUUUGGAUUGCAGCUUGUUCUCGCGGAACGUUCUGGAGGUCAGAAGUCUAAAAUCGAGGUGUUGGUGGGACUGCAUUCUUUCUAGAUGCUGCAGGAGAGAAUGUUUCCUUGCUUUUUUUGGCUUCGAGAAGCUGCCUGCAUUCCUCGGCCGGCCCCUCUGCAUAAUCCAGGAUAAUCUCUCCGUCUCAAGACCCUUAACUUCAUCACACCUGCAAAAUCCCUUUUACCAGGUGAGGGAAGAGUCACAGGCUCCAGGGGUAGGGUGGGGACGUAUUUGGAGGCCAUGACUCUGACCACCACAAUAAUGAUAUUGUAAUUAUGUAGGAGAAUGUUCUUAUUCAUAGUAGAAACAUAAUGUGAAGUAUUUAGUGGUGAAAUGUCAUGAUAUCUGAAUCUUUCAAACAGUUCAGUAAACACACAGAGAGAAAGCAAGUGUGUCAGAGAGUCUAGGUAUACAAUUAUUCCUUUUAUUAUUCUUUCAACUUUUUUGUAGUUUUGAACUUUUGAAAAUAAAAAGUUGGAGGAAAAGAAAUAUAUAUUGAUAAAUUCCAUGUAAUAUAUGCUUUAGAUACUUGCAUUAUACCGAAAAUUUCAUUUUAAAAAGUUCCCUUUAUUUUUUUUGAGGAAGAUUAGCUCUGAGCUAACUACUGCCAGUCCUCCUCUUUUUUGCUGAGGAAGCCUGGCCCUGAGCUAAAAUCGUGCCCAUCUUCCUCUACUUUAUACGUGGGACGCCUGCCCCAGCAUGGCUUUUGCCAAGCGGUGCCAUGUCUGCACCCAGGAUCUGAACCGGCAAACCCCAGGCCUCCCAAGUGGAACGUGCGCACUUGACUGCUGUGCCACCGGGCUGGCCCCAUUGUUUUUCUUAAACUAUGAUCGCCUUGGACCAGUGGUUUCUAGAUGUUUUGAUUUUCCAAUUAUUAAAAUUUCCAAAAAAUUUCUGGUGUACUGCUUUUUACCAUCAUUCUACAAAAGAAAGGCCAUUUCAAGACUAAAAACAGUAAGAAUGACUUGACCCCAAAUGAAAGGACUUUUCUUUGAAACAGGAAAUCCAUUUAGCUUUAUGGAAAACACGACUAUGUUUUGUUAACUUCUCUCUCUUCCCUCGACGCAAAUAGAGGAAAGCUGAGGGUCGACAUCAGUUUGGGGAAGGCUGGGGGCGGGGGCGGGGCUUAGACUAACAAUAUCAGGGCCUGUGGUGCCCUCUUGUGGCAGCCUGGGGAGUUACUUCCACCUGACCACUGCCUCUGCUUUGGAGGGACAACUCCCUCACACACCUCAGUCAGUCAGUCAUGC
RNAcentral lists this long non-coding RNA (1927 nucleotides) under Equus caballus (horse). RNAcentral describes it as "lncRNA (ENSECAG00000050785.1)". The stretch from base 1 to 98 matches the Rfam family "U5 spliceosomal RNA", at positions 19 to 117 of the family's 117-position model. The record is from RNAcentral. Lineage: Eukaryota; Metazoa; Chordata; Mammalia; Perissodactyla; Equidae.